UACAGGGGGGGCAAGCGUUGUUCGGAAUUACUGGGCGUAAAGGGCUCGUAGGCGGCCAACUAAGUCACACGUGAAAUCCCCAGGCUUAACCUGGGAACUGCGUGUGAUACUGGAAGGCUUGAGUAUGGGAGAGGGAUGUAGAAUUCCAGGUGUAGCGGUGAAAUGCGUAGAUAUCUGGAGGAAUACCGGUGGCGAAGGCGGCAUCCUGGACCAUUACUGACGCUGAGGCGCGAAAGCUAGGGGAGCAAACGGG
Molecule: ribosomal RNA, 253 nt
Filed under: uncultured bacterium
Lineage: Bacteria
Description: partial 16S ribosomal RNA
Rfam family: Bacterial small subunit ribosomal RNA
Source: RNAcentral